GUGCUGAUGAAGAGUCCCAAACUAGGACGAAACAGCUGUCCAGUGC
Molecule: non-coding RNA, 46 nt
Filed under: Trichobilharzia regenti
Lineage: Eukaryota; Metazoa; Platyhelminthes; Trematoda; Strigeidida; Schistosomatidae
Source: RNAcentral